Mus musculus (house mouse) is the source of this 9806-nucleotide long non-coding RNA. RefSeq annotates it as predicted gene, 34996. NCBI's taxonomy places the organism in Eukaryota, Metazoa, Chordata, Mammalia, Rodentia, Muridae. The record is from RefSeq and is a predicted model, not a curated record. The transcript has 2 exons.
CUCAGCACAUUUGUCAAAACCAGCUGUGCCUGGGAGUUUGUUGUGACUGGAUAGUGACUGACAAACACCUGCAUGAAUCCAGUGUUUGUACCCAGUCACCAUGCAGGAUGCUUGCUUUGCCUCCGGAUCUCUUUGCUUUUCUUAGUGAAUUUCUUUUAUUGUCCCUUUAAUUAAAGAGCUUUUCCAGGCAAAAGAAUAAAGGGCUCAAGUAGCCUUUGUUUAAAAGGAGCUGGGCUCCUUCCCACAAAGUGACUGAUGCCUUUAAGGGCUCUUUUGUUUGAGCAUUACAAAUGUUUAUUUCUAAAUCAAGUAAUUCUGCCCCCCCCCCCACAGUUAUAAUGAAGAGACACCUUUGAAAAACUAGGAUUUGGCGUGGUGAUGCGCUGGAGACAGUAAAUCUUGGAACUCCAGCGUGCCCAGUACUCACUUUUCAAAGAACGGGACUUCCUUUUAAUCCCAGUCGUUUCUCCUUAGCCAGUCUGGAAGUAAGAGUAAUUUAUUAAAUGCUUGCAAAGUAUAGAAAUACCAUUGAAAGACACAGAAACUAUUCUAGGAAUAUUAUAUAUAGUUGAGGGCAUGUGAGGGUAAUCAAAUCGGUGGGGAUGGACACACCUGGUCUAUGAUCAAGAAACAGAUGUAAAGGUAACGUUGGUUUGUUAAAGUCUAGAUGUUUGGACUCCUCUAUUUCCAAUUUUCCUUUUUCUUUUUGCCAGAAGGAAACAAAUGAUAAAAAAAUAUUUCAUUUAAGAAUAAAUAAUUUUAUUUAAAUUGUUCUUUUAGGGAGCAAAUAUUUUCAGCAUGAGUAGAUCUACAGUCUGCAGAAUCCAUACUCGAGGCCAUACUCAGAUUUCCAGACCCCACUAGCCUGUGUGAAUCCCGAGGCUUGCCCAUAGGUCACACAUCUUCAUGUGUCACAGUGCUUGACUCUGAAUUGCCUGUUAACUGUUCCCAAGCCCUUGAGAAAAGCUUGCGUGGACUGUUGAGUGCGUGGCAUAUAUAACCGAGGCUUGAGAGUUUGUUCUUAACUAUGACGGUGUUUUUACCAGAGGAUUUGGUUUGGUGGCAACAGUCUAAGACAAUGACUUUACAGCUCCACAUCUCCAGGUCACUUGCCUGAAUGAGGGGCUCGGGAGGCACUGGCUGGUUUGGAAAGUAUCAUUUGAAUGAACUGCUAAUAAGAUCAGGCAGUAAGGAUUAAUACUAGCGGAAACUGAGGGUGAAGUUCUGAACUCCAUUUGUUUCCACAACAUUUGCAUCAGCUCUGCAACGGGGCUUCCUGCAAGGGUCUGCAGAAUCCUGCUUCUCUCAAGCUUUGUGUGAGCUUCAACCCACUGCUCUCUGGGAACUCUGUGUGCCCUACAGACUUGCUGAUCUGUGUGGAAGUCUCUGCAGGUCCUGGAGAAGGGACCUGUAUCCCGAUAGGGGAUGGCCCUCUCCAGACACACCUUCCAGCACCUAGUUGAUCCUGGGCUAAAGUCUGCUGAGUAAAAGGAAGAGAAGAGAAUGAUGUCACUGACGAUCUAUCUUUUUGCAGGAAUCUCCAUGGUUUAAAAUUGGCCCUGAUUUGAUCUGGCAGGUACGCCCCACAUCUGUAUGUGGGAAACUGUGUGCACUUCUCUGAGAAAUUCCUUUCUCGUGGAGCCCCUUUGCUGAUUCUAUGGCCAAAGAGGCUUUCUCCACUCCUUUCCCCUCUGCUGGAGAGCAGCCUGUGAGGACAGCUCAAAAGCCACGCUUUCAUUUUCCCUAUUUAAUGCUAAUGCCUUUGAAAGAAUGUAUUCUUAACCUGACUUCAGUAUAUCUGACACAAUAUGAGCAUGUUGCCCAAAGCUUUCACUUUAUUGAGUUCAUUGAUAAACUUUAUCCAAUUUAAGUAGGAAGAAAAUGAAUUAUGUGAAUGGCAAUACUUGUUAGCUCUUUGCAAAACAUUUUUGUUGUUGUUGUUGUUAGAACUUUUAAGCCAAUGGGAAUCUAAUUCAGAGUUGCUGAAAUCAAAAGGAAGUUUAUUGGCAUUUUAAACUGGAAAACAAAGUAAACCAAUAAAACUAAUAAAGCAAUAAAAACCAAACCAAAACAGACUACGGCUCCAGGCACCCCUUGAUCCAGGGCCUCAAGAAGGAUCAGCACAUGCCUUUUUGUGUCAGUCUGGUUUUUGUCUCGUCCUUCUCCAUGAGAGCCAGUUUCAGGCAGCUUCUCCUUGCCUGUCUGAGGAAGGCGGCUACAACAGUUUCAAAAUUCCCAGAAGCCAGGGAAGAGAAAAGAUUCGGUUUUUGCUUCUUUGCUUUGCUUUUAAUUCAGAAAAUAAACCAAUGUUGGAGCACUGGUGAUUCCUGAGAUGGGAUAUAAAGCUUCACGCCAACCUAACAGCUCAGAUUGCAGAGGGCCUGGGCUUCCCUCACUUGCUUAGCAUAGUAAAUCUGAUAAUGGACAAGGACAGUUUUCUGGGAUGGGAAGAUGCAUUGGCUAAUAAUGAGCUUGCCAUAUAUAGAACAUACAGAUGUUCUAGCUAAGCCCAGGAACCGGAGUUCAGAGCUUCAGCUCAGUACCAGCACAUGAAUCCAGGCUUGGUGGUGCAAGCCUAAAAUCCCAGCACUGGACAUGCGGAGGCAGCUGGUGAGCUCCGGAGUCAGUGAGGAAACUGUCUCAAAACAUGAAAUUAGUAAGAGAAGCCAGCCCCUGCCCUGAGUCACAGCAGAACAUGGGUACAUCCUUCUGCGAGCCAGGCAAGGCACCGGAGUAGCAAAAUGAAUUGAGAAAGGUGCCAGAUAUGGAUCUCUGGCCUCUGAGUAGGUAUACAUUGCAUGAGCAUCCUCACAGAUGUGUUCACAGACACCCACCCACCCCCUCUCAUAUGCAUACAUGUCCAUACAUAUACACAAAAGAAGGGAAAACAAUCAACUUUUUGCUAGAACAGAAGAAAUUAUCCAUUGCACCAGAUUUUACCAAAUGAAUAUUCCUGAAUGAUGUAUAAGCUUUAAUAAAAAUCUCAGAAACUCCAUUUGAUCUUAUGACCUUGUCAACUGCAGAAGAUUAAGAAGCCAGAGGCUUGUUCUCUCCACAAUAUAGAAUUUAUGUUGGAGCAUGGACCUUCAAUUUUGCAGCCAUGUGGCCAGCAGAGGCCUAUGGGCCAUUCCUCUUGAGUAUGAUUUAUACCUGAAGGCUAUUUCAAACAGGUGAAACGAAGCAAGUAGCAGCACUGAUGAGCUUCAUUAAGAUGACCCAGUGGCUCCCCUGCCUCAGAAGGAUAUACCUACAUUUAGCUGUGACUCAGGACAGAUGAUGGCUUCUCUUACUAACAUAGAAUGUUGUACCUUGUCCCCAUGACUGGCUCUUUUUUGUGAUGCUGCCCUGCAGGUAGGUUCAGAUUCCCCUAAGAGGACUCUUAACACUUGAUCAAAUUCAUUUGGAUCUAUAGUGUAUAGGUAUCCAAACCUGGUUCAACCAUAGCCCAAUAACUCUCAUGAACUGAAUCAGGUUUUGUUUUGUUUUGUUUUGUUUUGUUUUGUUGGUUUGUCUGUUUUUGACUCCAGAUGCUAUACAGGUUUAUUUCAUUCAUCUUUGGGACAGUUUAAGAUCUUCAUUAAAGGCAUUGCUUCUCCCAGGGUGUUGCAUUCACAGGAAGAUUGCACAGGUUUCUAGGCUUGUAUGACCUCCCAGGGUGUGGCUUUUUGGUACAGCACUUGUGUGACACCCUGCUUUGAUCCCCAGUGACGGAUGCAAGUAAAAUAAAUGUCCAGCAAACAAGCAAGCAAACAUGUUCCUGCCUUUUUAUGGAUAAUAAACAAGAGUAAUAAAACAGAAACAUCGCUAAGCCAAGGGUUCCCUAUGCUAGCAGCAAACUCUCCUCCCACGUAUAGAAAUUAGUCAGUCUCUGUAAGCCUGGCAAUAGAUCCCAUGAUCCCAUUCCAGUUGAUAUAGCUGUGGUUUCGAGAAAAUAAGCAACUGGCUCCUAAGCCUACAGCUAGCAGGUUGGCAGGAAGGAUUUGGAUGAGUGCUCCCCUGAGUCACACCAGUGUUCACUGAGCACUGGUUUGGUGCUCUCUACUCAAGUUUUACUAGCUCACGGGUCAAGUGGCUUUUCUCUCAGUACUUAUUUGGGUAAGUGUGCAGAGACUUGCAUCUAAGAAGAGCAGAGUCAGCUCUGGGUGUUGGAGAAGCCCGCUGUGUGUUUGCAAAGGUUCAGUGCUCUACUUGGUAGCGUGAGGCAGGAGUGAUUCACUAUACAGGUGUUAUCUGGCCUUCAGAUAUGUCUCCCCGUAGUCAGCAUGGAUCCUGCGUCCCACUCUGAGUUCUGAGUCUUAUUUAUUGUGAAGUUUUUAUUUUUAUUUAUUUUUUUAAACAGUAGGGCAUGACUAGUUCAGGCUUGCAAAGCCCUGUUUUCAUUUUCAAUAAAAUAAACCUUUAAACAUAUUUUUCUAAUUAUUUUUUAGAAUUUAAUGAAUUCUGACUAUAUACUCUCUCUCCACAGCUCCCCCCAUUCCUCCCAGAAUCCCCCAUCUUCCCACUACAGUCAACUUUAUGUCUUUUAUGGUUUUCAUUAGCCCAGUGCAUUUUGUGUUGCCCAUCUAUUCCUUGAUGUGUGGCCAUCCACUGAUGUGUUGUUGACCUAGCGGAGGCCGCACCCUUAAAGAAAACUAACCCUUCUUCCCUCAGACAGCCUCACUCUCUAUGAUUCCUCAGUUAGGGUGGAGGCAUGUGAAUCCCUACCCCUUUGUACUGGGAUGUUGGGUGGUUUCAUCUUUUGGGGACUUAUGCAGGAAUUCACAGCCACUGUCAGCUCUUGAGUGUAGCAGCCCUGUUAUCCUGAAGAUCAUUUUGCUCUGGGAUCCCCUGACCUCUAGAUCUUAAAAUCGUUCUGGCCCUGAUAUAGCCUCUGAGCUUUUUAUGUAUUUGUAUAUGAUGGUAUAGAUUUCUCAUAUAUGAGAUAACACUCUGUCAACACUUAUUCUGUGCACUUUGGCCAGUGCUGGGCUUUGUGUUAACCACCAUCUACUGCACAGAGAGACUUCUCUGAUAAGGGCUGAGGAAGAGAGGCAUAGGCAGAGGGCCGUUUGAUACUAUGUCUGUUUAGCAGACUAAUGAUAGUAGGGUCACCCCUGGCGCCUAUGAGUUCCCAGUAUGGGCUCUUGUUUAUAUUUACUGUGCCAGGUAUAUGUUUUCUCCUGUGGAGUGGGUCUUAAACCCAAUCAGAAAAGCCUUUGAAAACAGGCUCCCUUCCUUUAUGAUGCUAGAAUUAUCCUGUAGCUUAGUUUUCCCCCAUAGGAAAUUUCUUCAUCUUCUCAUCUUACAGCUGGAAACCUUUUCUGUCCCAUUUAACUAUUUUUCUUAUAUAAGGGAGAAAUUGUGGUUUGUAAGUGAUAUCCAAAAAAAGCAAAAAGCAAAAUGUCCCAUUCAGUGUAGCUAUGAGUGAUACUUAGUUGUCUUUAGACCAAGUAAAGUUUAAAAAUUACAGCAUUUUUCCUUUCUUGCUGGAAUACUUCCUAUGAUGUACUUGAGUCUAAUUGUCUGACUGUGUUGAGAGUUGAUAAUGACUGUUGUUAACUUUGUUAGUUGUGAAAAUAUCACUCCUGAAUUUGAAUCACAUAAGCCUGUAUUUAUUGAACAGUUAUCUUGUACACAGUACCAUAUGGUGGAUCUUAAACAACAAAACAAAAUAAAACAAUAACCUGAACUGUAAGACAAUCAGGUCCUAAUAGAAGGGAGGAGACACCCAGGUUACAUAGGUAAGAAAGACAGAGUGGGCUAUGGGAACCCAGAGGAUACCAAAUGAGGUGGGGGUGGGGUAGGGUGGAGGGAAUGCUUUUUGGAAAAAGUGACGUUUAGAGGUCAGCCUUGGAAAACUGGAACAAUUGUGAAAAUGAAUGGGCUGGGUUAUAAGUUGUAAGCAGAGAGGACCUUGAGAGUAAAGACAAGGAGGCCUGACAAGUGUAAGGAAUGUGUGGGGAAGACCAGGCCAGACAGGUGCUCGAGAGGUGACAUUUAAGCCUAGAAGCAAAGGAAGAAAAACCAAGAGGAAGUAGAAGGAAAAAAAAAAAAACCAAAAAACCAAAAAACAAGAGUCAACAUUAGUGAAGCAAGACUUCAGCUUUUUUUAGUUAGGGACACCACAGCCAAGUACCAAGUGUCAGAAGAGAUUCACAGAAUGCCAGAUCCUGCUUAGAAGCCUCGGCAACACAAGAGAUGGCUCAAACAACCAAAGCAGGAGAAAUGGGGACACCACUCCAAACCUUAAAAAAUAAACAGGGCGAUAUUUAAUGAAUGAUCCAUGAAAACAAAAAUCAAAAAUUUAGGUCAAUGACUAAAUUCUGUUAAAAAUACAACCUGCCAAAACUGUGUGAGUAGAAAUAGAAUAUCCAAGAGUCCUAGAGUCUAAAGACAAUGAUGAUGUCAUUUAAAAACUCACCACCAAGCCAACAAAACCCCUUGGAACCCAAACGCAGAUAUUGUAGGUCCAGAUGUCAUCUUCAGAGAAAUGUACCAAUGUUUGUGGAAGGAAUUAGAUGGAUCAUAGGAAAAGUAUUUCUUUUUUUUUUUUAAUUUUUAUUAGAUUUUUUUCAUUUACACUUCAAAUGCUAUCCCAAAAGUCCCCUAUACCCUCCCCCCACCCUGCUCCCCUACCCACUCACUCCCUCUUCUUGGCCCUGGUGUUCCCCUGUACUGGGGCAUAUAAAGUUUGCAAGACCAAGGGGCCUCUCUUCCCAAUGAUGUCCGACUAGGCCAUAUUGUGCUAUAUAUGAAGCUAGAGACACGAGCUCUGGGGUACUGAUUAAUUCAUAUUGUUGUUCCACCUAUAGGGUUGCAGACCCCUUCAGCUCCUUGGGUAAUUUCUCUAGCUCCUCCAUUGGGGGCCCUUGUUCCAUCCUAUAGAUGACUGUGAGCAUCCACUUCUGUAUUUGCCAGGCUUUGGCAUAGCCUCACAGGAGACAGCUAUAUCUGGGUACUUUCAGCAAAAACUUGCUGGCAUAUGGAAUAGUGUCUGUGUUUGGUGGCUUAUUAUGGGAUGGACCCCCAGGUGGGGCAUUCUCUGGAUGGUCCAUCCUUUCCUCUUAGCUCCAAACUUUGUCUUUGCAACUCCUUCCAUAGGUAUUUUAUUCCCUAUUCUAGGGAGAAUGAAGUAUCCAUGCGUUGGUCUUCCUUCUUUUGAUUUUCUUGUGUUUUGGACAUUGUAUCUUGGAUAUUCUAGGUUUCUGGGCUAAUAUCCACUUAUAAGUAAGUGAAUAUCAAGUGACUUCUUUUGUGAUUGGGUUACUUCUUUCAGGAUAAUAUCCUCCAGAUACAUCCAUUUGCCUAAGAAUUUCAUAAAUUUAUUGUUUUUAACAGCUGAGUAGUACUCCAUUGUGUAAAUGUACCACAUUUUCUGUAUCCAUUCCUCUGUUGAGAGACAUCUGGGUUCUUUCCAGCUUCUGGCUAUUAUAAAUAGGGCUGCUAUGAACAUAGUGGAGCAUGUGUCCUUAUUACCAGUUGGAACAUCUUCUGGGUAUAUGCCCAGGAGAGGUAUUGCUGGAUCUGCUGGUAGUAAGAUGGCCAGUUUUCUGAGGAACUGCCAGACUAAUUUCCAGAGUGAUUGCACAAGCUUGCAUCCCACCAGCAAUGGAGGAGUGUUCCUCUUUCUCUGCAUCCUUGACAGCACCUGAAUUUUUGAUCCUAGCCAUUCUGACUGGUGUGAGGUGGAAUCUCAGGGUUGUUUUGAUUUGCAUUUCCCUGAUGAUUAAGGAUGUUGAACAUUUUUUCAAGUGCUUUUCAGCCCUUUGGUAUUCCUUAGUUGAGAAUUCUUUGUUUAGCUCUGUACUCCAUUUUUUACUGGGGUUAUUUGAAUUUCUGGAGUUAAGCUUCUUCAGCUCUUUUUAUAUAUGGAUAUUAGUCCCCUAUCAGAUUUAGGAUUGGUAAAAAUCCUUUCCCAAUCUGUUGGUGGCCUUUUUGUCUUAUUGACAGUAUCUUUUGCCCUACAGAAGCUUUGCAAUUUUAUGAGGUCCCAUUUGUCGAUUCUUGAUCUUACAAGCACAGGCCAUUGCUGUUCUGUUAAGAAUUUUUCCCCUGUGCCCAUAUCUUCGAGGCUUUCUCCCACUUUCUCUUCUAUAAAUUUCAGUGUCUCUGGUUUUAUGUGGAGUUCUUUGAUCCACUUAGACUUGAGCUUUGUACAAGGAGAUAAGAAUGGAUCAAUUUGCAUUCUUCUACAUGAUAAUUGCCACUUGUGCCAGCACCAUUUGUUGAAAAUGCUGUCUUUUUUUUCCACUGGAUGGUUUUAGCUCUGCCUACUGUGAUCCCAAGGUGAUCCUGAGGUCCUGUGGUGUGGAGAGUAUUCUAGGGCCCCUGCUGGCCUCUGGCGGGUUCAGAAGGAAGAUGGCAGGGGUGGUCCCGACUGGAAUGGAUCUGAGCCUCUGGUCGGGCAGGGUUCCUUUGUCCCUGUUCCUGCUGGCACAAGACCCUCCGAGAUUCUUUGGAGCUGUUAUUUCGAUCCACUCACCCAUGAUCCCGAAGUGAUCCCGGGGUCCUGCGGUGUGGAGAAUACUCUGGAGCCAGGAAAAGUAUUUCUAAAUGGAAUGGAAGGGUGAAGUGCCUGCCCUGUAUGGGUUCCACUUAAGCUCCAUGUUUCUGCCUGGCUCUACCAAAGCACGGGAAGUAAUUAUCUGAAUAAACACCACUAUGAAUUAUCUAAGUUAAAUGAACACCAUGAUCAAUGGCAAGGGAAACUGCAGAAUUGUACUAGUAUUUGAAUAUCAGUGCUAUUCUCCAAAGUAAAAUGUAAAGAAAAAAAAGAGCUGACUUAAGUAGACACAGAGAAAGCCUUGGGUGGACAUAACUCCUUUGAAAACAUCUUGAGAUUACAAGUGGAGAGUUGUCUUAAUCUAGGAACUACAAGAAAGCUAUAGCAAGUAUAUUUCACACCAACACUUGACCAAUUUCACCAUAGUACAGGGAACAAGUAGGGGGAUCUGCUGCUCGGGAGUCCAACAUUAUAAGUCUAAGAAUUAAAAAUAAAUAAAUAAAAGCUUUUUUAAAAUUUAGAGGCAACAGGAUUAUAAGUACAGGGAAUCUCAAACGUGUGUGUGUGUAUGUUUAGAUUAAAAUGUUAACAUUUAGCCAAAUGUCUGGUUCAUAUUUUAAAGUCAAUCUUCUAUUAACAGUUAUGAAAUGAAAUUUAUAGAAGAAUGUCAGUUACGAUGACAUUAACAAACCCAGAUCUACAAUUAACUCUUAACAAUGAUUAUAUAAGACCUAGCCUGUUCAUUCCGCUGAAGGCUGUAUAGCAAGAAGCAGCGAUCUAUUGCUCUAUGUAACAACACAAUUAACAUCCACAAAACAAUUUGAAAGAAUCCAGAUCCAAAAGAGCAUGAACAACAUGAUGUUCUUUGUGUCAGUCAAAACUAAUUAAUGGUGUGAAAUAGCCAGAUGGUGGCGAAUCUAGUGUAGGCAAGGAACGACCAGGAGUCAGUGAAGAAUACCUUGGCACCAGUGCUCAUGCCUAGACGUGUGAGCUGAUUGGCAUAUGCCUAGUCAGGGCUCACUUGGUGAUAAGCCACCAUAGGUGGGGCAAAUCACAUGAGCUGGGUAACUUGAAAUGUAUGUUACCUUUGUAUAAAAUACUCACUUAAAGGGAGAAAAAGUGCAACCAUGUGAAAUGGAUAACACAAUCAAAAACUGGACAGAGGACUUAAACAUGUUCUCCAGACAGGAUAAUCAGGUAGCCAAUAUGAGCAUCAAAGGGAACUAGGCAUCAUUAGUCGUUAGAGAAAUGUAAAUAAAAUUGUAUUUAGAUUAACUCCCCCCUUCCAUAGAAUGGCAAAAAAAAAAAAAAAAAAAAAAAAAAA